GACGAACGCUGGCGGCGUGCUUAACACAUGCAAGUCGAACGGAAAGGCCCUGCUUUUGUGGGGUGCUCGAGUGGCGAACGGGUGAGUAACACGUGAGUAACCUGCCCUUGACUUUGUGAUAACUUCAGGAAACUGGGGCUAAUACCGGAUAGGAGCUCCUGCUGCAUGUUGGGGGUUGGAAAGUUUCGGCGGUUGGGGAUGGACUCGCGGCUUAUCAGCUUGUUGGUGGGGUAGUGGCUUACCAAGGCUUUGACGGGUAGCCGGCCUGAGAGGGUGACCGGCCACAUUGGGACUGAGAUACGGCCCAGACUCCUACGUGCGGCAGCAGUGGGGAAUAUUGCACAAUGGGCGGAAGCCUGAUGCAGCAACGCCGCGUGCGGGAUGACGGCCUUCGGGUUGUAAACCGCUUUCGCCUGUGACGAAGAGUGAGUGACGGUAAUGGGUAAAGAAGCACCGGCUAACUACGUG
Molecule: ribosomal RNA, 468 nt
Filed under: uncultured bacterium
Lineage: Bacteria
Description: partial 16S ribosomal RNA
Rfam family: Bacterial small subunit ribosomal RNA
Source: RNAcentral